AUACGUAGGGGGCGAGCGUUGUCCGGAAUUAUUGGGCGUAAAGGGUUCGCAGGCGGCCUUUUAAGUCAGAUGUGAAAGCCCACGGCUUAACCGUGGUAAGCAUUUGAAACUGGAAGGCUUGAGUUAAGGAGAGGAAAGUGGAAUUCCUAGUGUAGCGGUGAAAUGCGUAGAUAUUAGGAGGAAUACCAGUGGCGAAGGCGGCUUUCUGGACUUAUACUGACGCGGAGGAACGAAAGCGUGGGGAGCAAACAGGAGUAUAUCCCCUGGUAGGCCACGCCGUAAGCGAUGAGUGCUAGGUGUUGGGGGUCAAACCUCGGUGCCGCAGCUAACGCAUUAAGCACUCCGCCUGGGGAGUACGUACGCAAGUAUGAAACUCAAAGGAAUUGACGGGG
RNAcentral lists this ribosomal RNA (392 nucleotides) under uncultured bacterium. RNAcentral's name for it is "partial 16S ribosomal RNA". It matches the Rfam family "Bacterial small subunit ribosomal RNA", at positions 523 to 918 of the family's 1533-position model. The record is from RNAcentral.